Molecule: long non-coding RNA, 543 nt
Organism: Ostrea edulis (European flat oyster)
Lineage: Eukaryota; Metazoa; Mollusca; Bivalvia; Ostreida; Ostreidae
Exons: 4
Source: RefSeq, a predicted model, not a curated record
UUAAUGUGGUGAUUGUGUGGAUGACAUUUCAUUGCUAUACGUGUAUAUAUAAAUAAAGGUGUCCUACAGAGUCCGUAGACAUAUUUCAAUUUACCCACGACAAAACUUCAUUGAAAAUGUUUGGAAGAGGAAUCAUUGUCAGCUUAUUGCUGUUUGCCUUUACAGAGAGAGCCGUCUCGCAAGCUUGCAGCAUUAUGGUCAUGAUGCCUUGCCUUGGAAUAAUGGCAGAAAUGGCACCACUUCAACAAGAAUUACAAGCGGCUGUAGCGGGGAGAAAUCAAGCCGAAUUUCUGAAACUAAUGCCCACAAUAUGCGGAAUCACCAGAAGAGGGAAGUCCUGUCUACAGUCCCUACCCUCCUCAUGUGACAAUAACACGCAGUACAAACAACUCUCCCUCGCCAUGCAAUCGCUUGCAAGACCAUGUGGUCUUCGAAAAUAAGGACAAGCAAAUUUGAGGAAAUCAUCACCACAGGAAAGCUGACGAAUGAUUUUAAACAAAGUCAUAAAAAUGUGAUUUCUGUGAAAUAAAGGAUGAGAUCUAA